Molecule: microRNA, 23 nt
Filed under: Strongyloides ratti
Lineage: Eukaryota; Metazoa; Nematoda; Chromadorea; Rhabditida; Strongyloididae
Description: str-miR-8389-3p
Source: miRBase by way of RNAcentral
CAUGUAAACAUUUUAGAUAUACA